RNAcentral lists this ribosomal RNA (241 nucleotides) under uncultured bacterium. Its description in RNAcentral is "partial 16S ribosomal RNA". It matches the Rfam family "Bacterial small subunit ribosomal RNA", at positions 524 to 765 of the family's 1533-position model. The record is from RNAcentral.
GACGAACCGUGCGAACGUUGUUCGGAAUCACUGGGCUUAAAGGGCGCGUAGGCGGGUUCGUAAGUCUGUGGUGAAAGCCCCCAGCUUAACUGGGGAAGUGCCAUGGAUACUGCGAAUCUUGAGGAGGGUAGGGGCAUCUGGAACACUGGGUGGAGCGGUGAAAUGCGUUGAUAUCCAGUGGAACUCCGGUGGCGAAGGCGAGGUGCUGGACCCUUCUGACGCUGAUGCGCGAAAGCCAGGG